Molecule: ribosomal RNA, 386 nt
Filed under: uncultured bacterium
Lineage: Bacteria
Description: bacterial SSU rRNA
Rfam family: Bacterial small subunit ribosomal RNA
Source: RNAcentral
AUUGAACGCUGGCGGCAUGCCUUACACAUGCAAGUCGAACGGCAGCACGGACUUCGGUCUGGUGGCGAGUGGCGAACGGGUGAGUAAUGUAUCGGAACGUACCUUUCAGUGGGGGAUAACGUAGCGAAAGUUACGCUAAUACCGCAUAUUCUGUGAGCAGGAAAGCAGGGGAUCGCAAGACCUUGCGCUGAUUGAGCGGCCGAUAUCAGAUUAGCUAGUUGGUGGGGUAAAGGCCUACCAAGGCUACGAUCUGUAGCGGGUCUGAGAGGAUGAUCCGCCACACUGGAACUGAGACACGGUCCAGACUCCUACGGGAGGCAGCAGUGGGGAAUUUUGGACAAUGGGGGCAACCCUGAUCCAGCCAUGCCGCGUGAGUGAAGAAGGCC